This 433-nucleotide ribosomal RNA is filed under the name uncultured bacterium. Its description in RNAcentral is "partial 16S ribosomal RNA". It matches the Rfam family "Bacterial small subunit ribosomal RNA", at positions 29 to 507 of the family's 1533-position model. The record is from RNAcentral.
AACGAACGCUGGCGGCAUGCCUAACACAUGCAAGUCGAACGAGACCUUCGGGUCUAGUGGCGCACGGGUUCGUAACGCGUGGGAACCUGCCCUUAGGUUCGGAAUAACUCCCCGAAAGGGGUGCUAAUACCGGAUAAUGUCUUCGGACCAAAGAUUUAUCGCCUUUGGAUGGGCCCGCGUUGGAUUAGCUAGUUGGUAGGGUAAAAGCCUACCAAGGCGACGAUCCAUAGCUGGUCUGAGAGGAUGAUCAGCCACACUGGGACUGAGACACGGCCCAGACUCCUACGGGAGGCAGCAGUGGGGAAUAUUGGACAAUGGGCGAAAGCCUGAUCCGGCAAUGCCGCGUGAGUGAUGAAGGCCUUAGGGUUGUAAAGCUCUUUUACCCGGGAUGAUAAUGACAGUACCGGGAGAAUAAGCGCCGGCUAACUCCGUG